RNAcentral lists this long non-coding RNA (783 nucleotides) under Rhinopithecus bieti (black snub-nosed monkey). Its description in RNAcentral is "lncRNA (ENSRBIG00000046619.1)". The record is from RNAcentral. Lineage: Eukaryota; Metazoa; Chordata; Mammalia; Primates; Cercopithecidae.
UUAAUACUUCUGCUGAUUGGCUACAAGUGUUCACUUUGCCCACCAAAUGUAUGUGCCUGAAAGCAGAGGAGAACCAGAUAUGAGCAAGCACUAGAAAUUUCUACCAGAGUGUUUAUGAAGUCAAUAGGUUUACAGGAAAUCUGUCACUUUUUAUUAAAAUGGAAAACUGUGAAGAAAGAGAAAGAUAGCAGUUGAAGUUAAAAUUCUCGGAUGACUAUUUUGCUUUUGAGGAGUCAGCAUUUAAAAACGAUAUGCUGAUUUGGAAGGUCCUGGGAGUAAACUGCAAACUUUAUUUUUUCCAUUCAAUCAAUGGAUUUUUUAAUCAUUCCUUGGAGUCGAUGAAGUUCGGAAAUGGUGUGUGAUGGGGAACGUGGCGGGCCAGUGUAUUCCUAGAAUUUGCAUCUUGGAUUAGUUUGCUGCUUUUUUGAAGAGAUUCCAUUUUGAAGGGCAAGAACCUAAUGUGAUGGAUUUAUCUUCAGAAAUGAACAGACAUGGGAAGAAUCCAGUGAGUCACAAGCUGGAAGAUCAGAAGAAGGUAUACAACAUGAUGUUUUGUUAUGAGCAUCACGGACAAACGUCAUGGCAUUUCUGGAUAUUCUCCAGUCACUUAAAACAUCUGAAUGGGCCAGAGAGAGCAAAUGUCUCUCAAUUUCAGAAUGAGAGAAUUCACUUUCAUGCAUCUUUCUGUUUGGCACUAACAAGAAUUGGUCACUGAUUAAAAGGCAAGUCCAAAUUAAAAGCAAUAAGAAGCAGCUGCAAUUUUUAAAGCACGCUAUAUAAUUU